UUCAUUUCAUUUCAAAUUUCAAAAAACAACUUCCCUUCGCAGCUUCUCUCUCAUUUCUAAAUUUCUUCAUCUUUCUUCUCAACGGCAACUAUCUCCCUCCUCUUCCCCCCCUCUCCGCCUCCCCUUCUCUCUCGAUCUCUUGUCUCCUUCGUCUUCCUCAGAAUCUUCACUCUUCCUUUCUCUCAAUUUCUAUUCUCUAAAAUGAAGCAUCCACCCAAGAAACCCUAUCUUGCUAAAUACCCAUCUCGCCGAUCCACUGCCAUUUUCUAUUCCAUGCGCUAACGGCGCCGGAAUCAAGGGCGGAAGACCCCUCGGAAGCCUAUGUCGUCUUCCAAAGAAAAUGCUUCACCGUCAGAUCCCAAAUUCCCAACUCCAUGGUUCCCGAUUCCAAACCCUCGCCGACUAAGUUGAAGAGCCUGCUCCAUCUUCUAACCCACUUAAGCGGAAGCUCAGUAUGGAGACCGUUCCUGAGAAUUCCAUCCCUGGGUUGUCUGAUUCUGUUGUUAAGAUUAGAGAAGAUGUAAAAUCUGGUGUAGAAAAUUUAACAGAGGAGUGUGUAUCCACAAUGGCAGCCGUUACUCGGCUUCUAAUGAAGUCGAUUAUGGUGGCUCACUUUGGAAACUUGUUACAUAGCUACUGCCAAAAGCUUUAAAUUGCCUUCCGGAUGCACCUCAAAAUCAGCUUCAUUCUUUGUGUUUUCUAAUUUCUAGCUCACUCAAUUCAGCCAUGGAAGUACGGAGAUAUUCCAAAUUUUAUAAUGCAAAACCUGAUGAAGCCGAUGAUGGUGUUUGCACAAGAGCUUGGAGAUUCUUUUUAUCUUACUUCACAAUUGACGUUCUUUCAGUUCUUCCACUCCCCCAGCCAUGCAGGGUUUACAGAAAGAUUUGAACUUUUCAUUUGUGGUCGUGAGCUGGCCAAUGCAUUUUUCGAAUUGAUCGAUCGUAUUUAUCAGGUAAGAGGUGAUUAUAUCAAUCAUUAAUGUUAGAAGGGUGCACAGAUGAUGAAACUUUUUAGCCAAUUUCAUGGCAUUUGAAAGAGAGAAAGUACAUUAGUAUUGAACUCAAGUUAAACUGGAUAGUCUAUCACCUUUUGGAAGAUAACUUUCCUGUACUUUGUUCCAUCUUGUAUAGACCCUUUCAGUCGAAAGGUUACCAAAGGAAUCGUUUUUGUUAUGUGUUAUGUGCUUAACUCCAUAACAAUGUGCGUCCAAGCUCUACAUGAGCAUUCUAUUUUUCUUGCUUGGUAUACUUGUGCAUUAUUGGUUUAUGUGCCAUGUCAAGAAAUAAUAGUUUCUAUUGGAACGUUUUAGUGUUUCGGUUCCAUGAUAAUUGGAAUGGUUGUAAUGAUCUUUUUCUUUUAAAACAAACAAAAUUGGCACAGAGGAUGAUUAGAAGACCAGAUCAGGCAACACAAUGAGAAGCAUGGCUCAGCUGUUUCUUAUGUAUCUCGUUUCUUAUGUAAUGACUCUUUGGACUUCAAUUGCCAAAAAGAUGAGGAUGAUUCUUAUGAAGUGACACUUGAUGAUGAUUUUCUUACUGCUUUGGAAUAUGGAAUGCCACCAGCUUCUGGACUGGAAUAAAGGAAAAAAUGGAGUAUAAUCGAAUUUGGAACCUUUGCAAGCAAGGGGAAGUUUUCUGUUCCCUAUCUCUUUUUUCGAUCCUUACAAUCUUGCUUAAAAUGCUUUGAAGACAAAUUAAAGUUUUAAGUGGGGGGUAGGGUUGUAGCUUUGCAUGUUCUAUGUCCUUUGGGAAAUUUUCAUUUUGCCAAAAAUGUUCAAAUUUUAAACUUUUUCAAUGUCUUUAUUCUUAAAAUAAAUACUAUGUCUAAUUUGCUUUCUAGUUUAGACAAGCAUGUCUGCCUAACCCUUGAGCAUGGAGCUCGGGUUUGUGAUUGUGUUUGUCAUUUGAAUAUCUUAAAUAUGUUGAAAAUGCAUUCUUUGAUAGCUUAGAAAUGCGUAGAAGACAUGCUAUUCAUUUUCUAAAUAUUGUAAAUACUGUACAUACUUAAUAAUGUGUUGAAAACAUGUGCUGUUGAAAACAUGGCCUAACCAAAACCAGAUCUGCCUAGCCCUUAGAGUCCAGCCGGUUAGGUCAAGUAGAAUGCGUUGAGCUCCCUCAGUAUCAGAGCUUGUGUGGGGAACUCUUCACUUUUGGCCUAACCAAAACCAGACCUUCCUAGCCUUUAAAACCCAACCGGUUAGGUGAAGUAGAAUGCGUUGAGCUCCCUCAGUAUCAGAGCUUGUGUGGGGAACUCUUCACUUUUCGCCUAACCAAAACCAGACCUGCCUAGCCCUUAGAGUCCAGCCAGUUAGGUCAAGUAGAAUGCGUUGAGCUCCCUCAGUAUCAGAGCUUGUGUGGGGAACUCUUCACUUUUGGCCUAACCAAAACCAGACCUGCCUAGCCCUUAGAGUCCAGCCGGUUAGGUCAAGUAGAAUGCGUUGAGCUCCCUCAGUAUCAGAGCUUGUGUGGGGAACUCUUCACUUUUGGCCUAACCAAAACCAGACCUUCCUAGCCUUUAAAACCCAACCAGUUAGGUGAAGUAGAAUGCGUUGAGCUCCCUCAGUAUCAGAGCUUGUGUGGGGAACUCUUCACUUUUCGCCUAACCAAAACCAGACCUACCUAGCCCUUAAAGUCCAGCCGGUUAGGUCAAGUAGAAUGCGUUGAGCUCCCUCAGUAUCAGAGCUUGUGUGGGGAACUCUUCACUUUUGGCCUAACCAAAACCAGACCUGCCUAGCCCUUAGAGUCCAGCCGGUUAGGUCAAGUAGAAUGCGUUGAGCUCCCUCAGUAUCAGAGCUUGUGUGGGGAACUCUUCACUUUUGGCCUAACCAAAACCAGACCUUCCUAGCCUUUAAAACCCAACCGGUUAGGUGAAGUAGAAUGCGUUGAGCUCCCUCAGUAUCAGAGCUUGUGUGGGGAACUCUUCACUUUUCGCCUAACCAAAACCAGACCUGCCUAGCCCUUAGAGUCCAGCCAGUUAGGUCAAGUAGAAUGCGUUGAGCUCCCUCAGUAUCAGAGCUUGUGUGGGGAACUCUUCACUUUUGGCCUAACCAAAACCAGACCUGCCUAGCCCUUAGAGUCCAGCCGGUUAGGUCAAGUAGAAUGCGUUGAGCUCCCUCAGUAUCAGAGCUUGUGUGGGGAACUCUUCACUUUUGGCCUAACCAAAACCAGACCUUCCUAGCCUUUAAAACCCAACCAGUUAGGUGAAGUAGAAUGCGUUGAGCUCCCUCAGUAUCAGAGCUUGUGUGGGGAACUCUUCACUUUUCGCCUAACCAAAACCAGACCUACCUAGCCCUUAAAGUCCAGCCGGUUAGGUCAAGUAGAAUGCGUUGAGCUCCCUCAGUAUCAGAGCUUGUGUGGGGAACUCUUCACUUUUGGCCUAACCAAAACCAAACCUACCUAGCACAUAAAGUCCAGCCGGUUAGGUCAAGUAGAAUGUGUUGAGCUCCCUCAGUAUCAGAGCUUGUGUGGGGAACUCUUCACUUUUGGCCUAACCAAAACCAGACCUUCCUAGCCUUUAAAACCCAACCAGUUAGGUGAAGUAGAAUGCGUUGAGCUCCCUCAGUAUCAGAGCUUGUGUGGGGAACUCUUCACUUUUCGCCUAACCAAAACCAGACCUACCUAGCCCUUAGAGUCCAGCCGGUUAGGUCAAGUAGAAUGCGUUGAGCUCCCUCAGUAUCAGAGCUUGUGUGGGGAACUCUUCACUUUUGGCCUAACCAAAACCAGACCUUCCUAGCCUUUAAAACCCAACCAGUUAGGUGAAGUAGAAUGCGUUGAGCUCCCUCAGUAUCAGAGCUUGUGUGGGGAACUCUUCACUUUUCGCCUAACCAAAACCAGACUUGCCUAGCCCUUAGAGUCCAGCCGGUUAGGUCAAGUAGAAUGCGUUGAGCUCCCUCAGUAUCAGAGCUUGUGUGGGGAACUCUUCACUUUUGGCCUAACCAAAACCAGACCUGCCUAGCCCUUAGAUUCCGGCCUGUUAGGUCAAGUAGAAUGCGUUGAGCUCCCUCAGUAUCAGAGCUUGUGUGGGGAACUCUUCACUCUUGGCCUAACCAAAACCAGACCUACCCAUCCCUUAGAGUCCAACCGGUUAGGUCAAGUAGACACAUACAUAUAUGAGUCUAAAUUCAUACAUAUAUCAAGUAAACUCAAUGUGAAUAUGUGAUUCUAAAUUCAUUUAAUUUCGCUUUCAAAUUUUUAAGAAUGAAGUGACUUAAUUGAAUUCAAUUUUGGUCGUUCCAA
RNA transcript from Cucumis melo (muskmelon), 4235 nucleotides. RefSeq lists it as uncharacterized. The transcript is spliced from 7 exons. The record is from RefSeq and is a predicted model, not a curated record. NCBI's taxonomy places the organism in Eukaryota, Viridiplantae, Streptophyta, Magnoliopsida, Cucurbitales, Cucurbitaceae.